UAUUAUGUUUUGUUGGUAUUUUUCUUUUCUUUUGGUUGAGAAUUAAUUACAGGAAAUUUGAGACUGGCACCCAAACAAACAAGGCAAAAUCCCUAUGGUUCAUUUGAUCACACUUGAUUUGUGUCAGCUGACGUUGUGGCUAGACACGCCAGUUCUCUUACCAACAAAAUUGCAAUACUGGAACGAGGAUUGGAUCAAGGGUUAUCACACAUCUUGACCUUCAACCAAUGAUUGAUGCAUGCCAUUAGCAAAAAUUUUGUGCCUCGCCAACAACUGUAAAUUAGUUCCAUUCUCGAGCCAUGCCAUCAAUGAAUUUUAUGAAACUCCUGAUAUUAAAAACGAUGGAUAUGGUCAAUAUUUGGCUGAGCAAGAAGAUUGGGAUGAUAUCAUUGAUAUACUUUGUGAGGAAGGUGCUCAAUGGCGAUUCUUCAAUAAUGCACCAGUUUCAUUCAAGAGGAAUGUGAUGAAACCAACUUCUAAGAUAUGAUUAUAUUUUAUGGCUUCCAAAUUACUUUUUACCACACAUCUCAGUAAUGUCAUAAAAGAUCUAGCCAUCAUUAUUCACUCCAUCAAGAUUGGAUGCACAAUUGAUAUUGGCUGCGUAAUUUACAAAGCCAUGACUCACACUACAUGAUCAAAGUGUGAAGGCUUGCAGUUCCCUUCUAUGAUUACAACAUUAUGCAAACAAGCUGGUGUAAAUUAAAAUGCUAGUAAGGAGUUGUUGCA
Theobroma cacao (cacao) is the source of this 726-nucleotide non-coding RNA. The record is from RefSeq and is a predicted model, not a curated record. Lineage: Eukaryota; Viridiplantae; Streptophyta; Magnoliopsida; Malvales; Malvaceae.